RNAcentral lists this ribosomal RNA (253 nucleotides) under uncultured bacterium. RNAcentral's name for it is "partial 16S ribosomal RNA". It matches the Rfam family "Bacterial small subunit ribosomal RNA", at positions 524 to 776 of the family's 1533-position model. The record is from RNAcentral.
UACGUAGGGGGCAAGCGUUGUCCGGAUUUAUUGGGCGUAAAGAGCGUGUAGGCGGUUUGGUAGGUCCGUUGUGAAAACUCGAGGCUCAACCUCGAGACGCCGGCGGAAACCAUCAGGCUAGAGUCCGGAAGAGGAGAGUGGAAUUCCUGGUGUAGCGGUGAAAUGCGCAGAUAUCAGGAGGAACACCAAUUGCGAAGGCAGCUCGCUGGAACGUAACUGACGCUGAGACGCGAAAGCGUGGGGAGCAAACAGG